GAAACAGCAUUUGAUAUCUUGCAGGGGAAAAAGUGUCCCAGCAAACAUAAACUAGUAAUCCAAGUGAACAAACUGUGUUGUAGGGUAUUUAUUUCCUUAGUCACCAAACAGGUUUUUGUGAAAGGGUAUUAAGAAGAAUAAAAUAAUAGUGAUUUCCAGUCUUUUGGAAAUGGUGUAAGAAGUUUUUUUUAUGGAUGCUAUAAGAUACAGAAGGAAUUUUCUUUCCAACAUGUUUUUUUCAGCAAUAUUUUCUCUAGUUGAGAUUUAAGGGAGGAACCAGACACCAGAUUUCAGUCACCAGAACUGUGCUCCAGAUCUCAAAGUAUUUAAUAGAUGCGUUCAAUCUGCCUCCCCCUGUGAACAAGUCCAAGGAAACCUCAGAAAAAAUGCCAAAUGUUUAAAAACUCAGCAGAGACUGAUAAAAAGAGAAGAAAGCAGAGGCCAGUUGUAGACACCAUAUACAAAAUAUCUUUAAACAUGAUUUUCCUGUGAGGUUUGUUUUGUUCACUUAAUGAAAAUGUCGUUAGCAGAGAUGUAGGAAUGAACCCAGCAGGGGAGUUGGCAUUUGACUUUAUUGAAGCAACCCUUGUCCCUUUUCACCCCACUUCCAUAUCACCUGUAUCUUCUGUGUAAUGACAAGGGUUAAUGAUAACACUGCAGAGGUCAAACACUGGAAGGUGAUUAAAAAAAUGAACUGUUUUCCAUACACCUUGGUUCAUUGAGUUCAAAGGCAAGAGAGCACACAGAUAUGCGUAUCUUGGUUUGGAUUACAACAAAGCUUCACCUGUGAGGCCAUUUGAAAAUGUGUGGGCUUGCACUACAGGGGAGCUGAGAGAAAACACCUAAAUGGUUACUACCAUCAGAACCAUCAGCAUGAAACUCACCUUGUCAGUCUGUGGCAGCCUGGAUCUGGGAGACCUUGCAAUGUCAGGUCUGGGAACACAUGGGAGACAUGCCUGGGCUGUUUAUUACUUCAGUGAUCAUUGUUGGAAGCAAUGAGUCUUACAGAAAGGAAAAAAUUCUGCAGGAAACAAAUCAACUUUUGGAUUUCAGGGAUCAGCCUGCUGGAAGGAAGAUACCACUGUAACCCUUGGUGAUCUACGAAUUUGCAAGGCGAAGAGAAAGGCUUUUAG
Lagopus muta (rock ptarmigan) is the source of this 1133-nucleotide long non-coding RNA. RefSeq lists it as uncharacterized. The record is from RefSeq and is a predicted model, not a curated record. NCBI's taxonomy places the organism in Eukaryota, Metazoa, Chordata, Aves, Galliformes, Phasianidae. The transcript has 4 exons.